UACAGAGGGUGCAAGCGUUAUUCGGAAUUAUUGGCAUAAAGCGCAUGUAGGUGGUUUGAUAAGUCUGAUGUGAAAUCCCCGGACUCAAUUCGGGAAGUGCAUUGGAUACUGUCAGGCUAGAGUAUGGGAGAGGUGAGCGGAAUUCCAGGUGUAGAGGUGAAAUUCGUAGAUAUCUGGAGGAACAACAGAGGCGAAGGCGGCUCACUGGACCAUUACUGACACUGAGAUGCGAAAGCGUGGGGAGCGAACAGG
This 252-nucleotide ribosomal RNA is filed under the name uncultured bacterium. RNAcentral describes it as "partial 16S ribosomal RNA". It matches the Rfam family "Bacterial small subunit ribosomal RNA", at positions 524 to 776 of the family's 1533-position model. The record is from RNAcentral.